GAUGAACGCUGGCGGCGUGCCUAAUACGUGCAAGUCGAGCGAACAGACGAGGAGCUUGCUCCUCUGACGUUAGCGGCGGACGGGUGAGUAACACGUGGAUAACCUACCUAUAAGACUGGGAUAACUUCGGGAAACCGGAGCUAAUACCGGAUAAUAUAUUGAACCGCAUGGUUCAAUAGUGAAAGACGGUUUUGCUGUCACUGAUAGAUGGAUCCGCGCCGCAUUAGCUAGUUGGUAAGGUAACGGCUUACCAAGGCAACGAUGCGUAGCCGACCUGAGAGGGUGAUCGGCCACACUGGAACUGAGACACGGUCCAGACUCCUACGGGAGGCAGCAGUAGGGAAUCUUCCGCAAUGGGCGAAAGCCUGACGGAGCAACGCCGCGUGAGUGAUGAAGGUCUUCGGAUCGUAAAACUCUGUUAUUAGGGAAGAACAAAUGUGUAAGUAACUAUGCACGUCUUGACGGUACCUAAUCAGAAAGCCACGGCUAACUACGUG
Molecule: ribosomal RNA, 497 nt
Filed under: uncultured bacterium
Lineage: Bacteria
Description: partial 16S ribosomal RNA
Rfam family: Bacterial small subunit ribosomal RNA
Source: RNAcentral